AUCCCGAUGGGACUGGAAGGAAACCGGCAGACCUGCACUGGGAGGAGCCAGGAGCAGGCUGGCAGCUGGCCCUGUGCCAUAUCCAUCCCCUGUCUGAUGCGACGGCAGCAGCGCUCCACGGAGCUUAUUCCAAGGCGGCGUAAUCUUUCUAAGCAGCAAAGAGGGGCAGGGACGCCGCUGAGCUCCCGGCAGACAGAGCCCUGCGUCGGGAGGUAAUAACUCUUCAGGGACUUGGCGCCGAGCGCUGACAAGCCGCCGGGAGGGCUGUGGAAAUCCGUUCUGCGGAUGAGCCGAGAGGAUUCUCCUGCUAUCCCCCUAAAGCCUGCGUGUCACCUAGUCCAAUAAAAGGCAU
Myiozetetes cayanensis is the source of this 352-nucleotide long non-coding RNA. RefSeq lists it as uncharacterized. The record is from RefSeq and is a predicted model, not a curated record. Lineage: Eukaryota; Metazoa; Chordata; Aves; Passeriformes; Tyrannidae. The transcript is spliced from 3 exons.